GAGAAUAUUGAUAUGAAUAUUAUUGUGGAAUUUCUAUCUUUUUGUGUCGAGAUUACUAUUCACGUAUACGGCACUAUUCACGUAUACAGUACUAUUCACAUAUACAACACUAUUCAUGUAUAUGACAUUAUUUACGUAUACGGUACUAUGUACGAAUACGGAGUACUAUUCAUGAGUUACUAUUCAUGAGUUACUAUUCACGAGUACUAUUCAUGACAAAAAUUGGUUUCUUU
This 233-nucleotide long non-coding RNA is filed under the name Panax ginseng (ginseng). RNAcentral's name for it is "long non-coding RNA (PGIN_LNC017554)". Lineage: Eukaryota; Viridiplantae; Streptophyta; Magnoliopsida; Apiales; Araliaceae. The record is from RNAcentral.